Molecule: ribosomal RNA, 253 nt
Filed under: uncultured bacterium
Lineage: Bacteria
Description: partial 16S ribosomal RNA
Rfam family: Bacterial small subunit ribosomal RNA
Source: RNAcentral
UACGAGGGGGGCAAGCGUUGUUCGGAAUUAUUGGGCGUAAAGAGCUCGUAGGCGGUCUGUUGCGUCUGCUGUGAAAACCCGGGGCUUAACCCCUGGCUUGCAGUGGAUACGGACAGACUAGAGGUAGGUAGGGGAGAAUGGAAUUCCCGGUGUAGCGGUGAAAUGCGCAGAUAUCGGGAGGAACACCGGUGGCGAAGGCGGUUCUCUGGGCCUUACCUGACGCUGAGGAGCGAAAGCGUGGGGAGCGAACAGG